Molecule: ribosomal RNA, 468 nt
Filed under: uncultured bacterium
Lineage: Bacteria
Description: partial 16S ribosomal RNA
Rfam family: Bacterial small subunit ribosomal RNA
Source: RNAcentral
GACGAACGCUGGCGGCGUGCUUAACACAUGCAAGUCGAACGGUAAGGCCCUGCUUUUGUCGGGUGCUCGAGUGGCGAACGGGUGAGUAACACGUGAGUAACCUGCCCCUGACUUUGGGAUAACCUCUGGAAACUGCGGCUAAUACCGGAUAGGAGCUCCUGCGGCAUGGUGGGCGGCGGAAAGUUACGGCGGUCGGGGAUGGGCUCGCGGCUUAUCAGCUUGUUGGUGGGGUAGUGGCUUACCAAGGCGUUGACGGGUAGCCGGCCUGAGAGGGUGACCGGCCACAUUGGGACUGAGAUACGGCCCAGACUCCUACGGGAGGCAGCAGUGGGGAAUAUUGCACAAUGGGCGGAAGCCUGAUGCAGCAACGCCGCGUGCGGGAUGACGGCCUUCGGGUUGUAAACCGCUUUCGCCUGUGACGAAGCGUGAGUGACGGUAAUGGGUAAAGAAGCACCGGCUAACUACGUG